UACGAAGGGGGGCUAGCGUUGUUCGGAAUCACUGGGCGUAAAGGGCGCGUAGGCGGCGCGACAAGUCAGGCGUGAAAGCCCCGGGCUCAACCCGGGAAUUGCGCUUGAUACUGUCGUGCUUGAGGCCGGGAGAGGAUGGCGGAAUUCCCAGUGUAGAGGUGAAAUUCGUAGAUAUUGGGAAGAACACCGGUGGCGAAGGCGGCCAUCUGGACCGGUUCUGACGCUGAGGCGCGAAAGCGUGGGGAGCAAACAGG
RNAcentral lists this ribosomal RNA (254 nucleotides) under uncultured bacterium. RNAcentral describes it as "partial 16S ribosomal RNA". It matches the Rfam family "Bacterial small subunit ribosomal RNA", at positions 524 to 776 of the family's 1533-position model. The record is from RNAcentral.